Molecule: transfer RNA, 61 nt
Filed under: Amblyomma geoemydae
Lineage: Eukaryota; Metazoa; Arthropoda; Arachnida; Ixodida; Ixodidae
Description: tRNA-Gly
Source: RNAcentral
ACUUAAUUAGUAUAAAUAGUACAAUUAAUUUCCAAUUAAUAGGUUUAAUUAAAAUUAAGUA